AGGGUGCAGGGCGGAUGCCUUGGCACUAGGAGCCGAUGAAGGACGUGAUAAGCUGCGAUAAGCUUCGGGGAGUUGCACGUAAACUUUGAUCCGAAGAUUUCCGAAUGAGGAAACUCACUUAGAGUAAUGUCUAAGUAUCAUUAAGUGAAUACAUAGCUUAAUGAGGGGAACUCAGGGAACUGAAACAUCUAAGUACCUGAAGGAAGAGAAAGAAAUUCGAUUCCGUAAGUAGCGGCGAGCGAACGCGGAUUAGCCCAAACCAAUAAAGUUUUCUUUAUUGGGGUUGCGGACAUAUCAUAACGAAGAGGUAUCGUAAUUGAAGAGGUUUGGAAAGACCCACCACAGAAGGUAAUAGUCCUGUAUGUUAAACGAGAAGACUUCAGAUAUGAUCCAGAGUACCACGGGACACGUGAAACCCUGUGGGAAGCAGGAGGGACCACCCUCCAAGGCUAAAUACUACCUAGUGACCGAUAGCGUAUAGUACCGUGAGGGAAAGGUGAAAAGAACCCCGGGAGGGGAGUGAAAUAGAACCUGAAACCCUGCACUUACAAGCUGUGGAAGCACAUUUCUUGUGUGACCGCGUACUUUUUGUAGAACGGGCCAACGAGUUACGUUAAGUAGCAAGGUUAAGCACUUAAGGUGCGGAGCCGUAGCGAAAGCGAGUUUUAACUGAGCGUUCAGUUACUUGACGUAGACCCGAAACCGGGCGACCUACCCAUGAGCAGGAUGAAGCGAAAGUAAAAUUUCGUGGAGGUCCGAACCCACGAGCGUUGAAAAGCUCGGGGAUGACUUGUGGGUAGCGGUGAAAUUCCAAUCGAGCCCGGAGAUAGCUGGUUCUCCCCGAAAUAGCUUUAGGGCUAGCCUCAAGGUGAGAGAUACGGAGGUAGAGCACUGAAUGUCCUAGGGGGUAUUGCACCUACCGAAGACUAUCAAACUCCGAAUGCCGUCAUCUUAUACUUGGGAGUCAGACUGUGGGUGAUAAGAUUCAUAGUCGAAAGGGCAACAGCCCAGAUCGUCAGCUAAGGUCCCUAAAUGUAAGUUAAGUGGUAAAGGAUGUGGGAUUGCACAGACAACCAGGAUGUUGGCUUAGAAGCAGCCACUCAUUCAAAGAGUGCGUAAUAGCUCACUGGUCGAGUGAUCCUGCGCCGAAGAUUUCCGGGGCUAAAACUUACUACCGAAGCUACGGCAUCAGUAAUGAUGGGUAGGGGAGCUUCCCAUACGGGUUGAAGCAUGACCGUAAGGACAUGUGGACAGUAUGGGAGUGAGAAUGUUGGCAUGAGUAGCGAGAUGUGGGUGAGAAUCCCACAGGCCGUAAACCCAAGGUUUCCAGGGGAAGGUUCGUCCGCCCUGGGUUAGUCGGGACCUAAGCUGAGGCCGAAAGGCGUAGGUGAUGGACAACAGGUUGAUAUUCCUGUACUACCGAUAACCGUUUGAGAGAAGGGAUGACACAGUAGGAUAAGCUAAGCACACUGUUGGUUAUGUGUGCCCAAGCAUUGAGGCAGUCAAAGUAGGCAAAUCCGCUUUGAUAAUGCUGGGAUGUGAUGGGGAGCGAAAUUUAGUAGCGAAGUAGCUGAUUUCACACUGUCAAGAAAAGUCUCUAUCGAGGUUAAAGGUACCCGUACCGCAAACCGACACAGGUGGGUGAGGAGAGUAUCCUAAGGCCAGCGAGAGAACUGUUGUUAAGGAACUCGGCAAAAUGACCCCGUAACUUAGGGAUAAGGGGUGCCACCAUCAGGUGGCCGCAGAGAAUAGGCCCAAGCGACUGUUUACCAAAAACAUAGGUUUCUGCUAAGUCGCAAGACGAUGUAUAGGAGCUGACGCCUGCCCGGUGCUGGAAGGUUAAGGGGAUCUGUUAGAGCAAUCGAAGCAGUGAACUUAAGCCCCAGUAAACGGCGGCCGUAACUAUAACGGUCCUAAGGUAGCGAAAUUCCUUGUCGGGUAAGUUCCGACCCGCACGAAAGGCGUAACGAUUUGGGCACUGUCUCAACAACAGACUCGGUGAAAUUGUAAUUCCGGUGAAGAUGCCGGAUACCUGCGACAGGACGGAAAGACCCCAUGGAGCUUUACUGUAGCUUGACAUUGGGUCUUGGUACUACAUGUACAGGAUAGGUGGGAGGCUUUGAAACCAGGACGCCAGUUUUGGCGGAGCCAUCCUUGGGAUACCACCCUUGUAGUACUGGGACUCUAACCAUAGGCCAUGAAUCUGGUCUUGGGACACUGUCAGGUGGGCAGUUUGACUGGGGCGGUCGCCUCCCAAAAGGUAACGGAGGCGCUCAAAGGUUCUCUCAGUACGGUCGGAAAUCGUACGUAGAGUGUAAAGGCAAAAGAGAGCUUGAUUGCAAGACAUACAGGUCGAGCAAGGAUGAAAAUCGGACUUAGUGAUCCGGUGGUUCUGCGUGGAAGGGCCAUCGCUCAACGGAUAAAAGCUACCCUGGGGAUAACAGGCUUAUCUCCCCCAAGAGUCCACAUCGACGGGGAGGUUUGGCACCUCGAUGUCGGCUCAUCACAUCCUGGGGCUGUAGUAGGUCCCAAGGGUUGGGCUGUUCGCCCAUUAAAGUGGUACGCGAGCUGGG
Molecule: ribosomal RNA, 2573 nt
Filed under: Clostridioides difficile
Lineage: Bacteria; Bacillati; Bacillota; Clostridia; Peptostreptococcales; Peptostreptococcaceae
Description: bacterial LSU rRNA
Rfam family: Bacterial large subunit ribosomal RNA
Source: RNAcentral